CCUCAUGUGACAUUUAAGAACUGGUUCUCAGGUCACUAUAGCCUUGUGGGUCUUGUGAACAGAAGCCCUGCUGACAUUCAAAGCUAGACGCUUUGGGAGCCAUCUCUCAGGUGCUGGUCUCAGAAGUUGAGCUGCCAGAUUCAGGGUUCACACCUUGGCUCCUCAGGAGAAGCUGGGGGUUGUAAGUCACCUCUUGACUGUGAGUCGCUGUGCCAAGGGUGGGGUUCAGGAUGAGAUUGUGUCUUGGUCUCUCUCACCCAUUUUCGUGUGUUUUUCUUCUUGUUCAUCCAAUGCGUGGGAGUUGCUUGGCUAGUUUCAAAGUUUCUUUCAUAUGUGGCUGAAGAUUUGGUGUGUCCAUGGGAGAAGGAAGGAAGGUCAACAGCUGAAGUGAAGACAGGGAGGAGGCACUGGUGAAUGAGGACAGCGGGGUUUGAAACAGUCCUCUGGAAGCGUGGGAGAGGUUCAGAAUAAAAUCCGCAUUGUGGAAGACUACGUGCCAACCUUACAGGGUGCUGUACCUGAGCUGGUGCCUUUGCCAAGCCUUUCUCCUAUCCUGUUCUACAGCCAGCCACUCUGCUCAGGCAAACUACUUCUGGGUGAUGAGGAUUACGUGGUGUUUUGAAGAGAAACUGAACUCUCCCCAUCAAGAUCUGAGGUCUAAAGCUUCUUCCUUUUGAACCUGGACCAGCUUUAGUGACUCUUAUUAUUAACCGAACAUAGUAGAUGGGAGCUGUAUAACUCCAAGGCUGGAUCAGAAGAGACCACGAAGCUUCCACCUGGCUGUCUUGGAAAGCUCACUCUGACGGAAGUCAGAAACCAUGCAAUAAGUCUGAUUAUCCUGCAACCAGUAUGCUGGAGAAGACAAAAGCAGACGCCCUAGUCAACAGCCCAGCUGAGCCAUCAGCCUAUAAUUGACUCCAAGGGUCAGCACUUGAGAGCCGUCUUCGACAGCCAGCCCAUUCAGACUUUCCUAUGACUGUAUCCCAGCCAAUGUCUGAGUGCACCCAUAUCAGAGCCAAGCAUUCCUCAAAUUUCUAAUCUAUAAAAUAAGAAGCAAAGUGAAAUGUUUGUUUCUAGAAUUUUGGGGUUAAUUGUUAGACAAUGAUAAUAACCGAUUAGUGUGUGCCAAGUUCUCUGCUCUGUGCAUUAUUUCAAUCGACUCCUUUAAUACUGACACUGAUGCAAAGUUAAGUGUCAUUUCAUUUUAGAGAUGAGGGGUUGGAAGUGGACAUUGAGAAGACGUGAUUGCUGGUUGACCCACAAGUUGCACCUGGGCAAUCAGGGGCUCCUCACCCCCUCCCCUAUCCUCAGAAUGUGUGUUCUGCCCAUCAUUCCCAUGGUGGGAGCCGUUUUCGAGGAUGGACCCUUGAGAGAGUGAUGUGUUGUUAAGACCAUCUGGACAGGGUAUGUGACUGAAGCCCUUUCAGGCCUCUAUAUAAAUUUUCAAGAUUCUGGCAGGUGGGUGUGGAAACUGACUCUUCUUGUGGGUGCCAGGGAUGAGUUUUGCAUGUAAGUCCCCUUGCUUAUUAAACCUACCACCUACCAAUCCAGAGUGCUCUGCCUCUUCCUUGGGUUUCUCUCUGUCCUCCACAGAUGGGGGCCAGUUUCAAAUUUCACCGGGGGAAAUCCAGUGGUUCCAAGCCAAGAUGACGAAAGUGAGCUUCAAAGAGGUUAACCUUCUCUUCACGGCACGCAGCUAAGGAGAGGCAGAGCUGAAACUCAAGCCUAAGUUUGCCUGACUAACCGU
Camelus dromedarius (Arabian camel) is the source of this 1747-nucleotide long non-coding RNA. RefSeq lists it as uncharacterized. The transcript has 4 exons. Lineage: Eukaryota; Metazoa; Chordata; Mammalia; Artiodactyla; Camelidae. The record is from RefSeq and is a predicted model, not a curated record.